UACGGAGGAUGCAAGCGUUAUCCGGAUUUAUUGGGUUUAAAGGGUGCGUAGGCGGAAUAAUAAGUCAGUUGUGAAAGCCUGUAGCUUAACUAUAGAAUUGCCAUUGAUACUGUUAUUCUUGAGUACAGUUGAGGUAGGCGGAAUGUGUAAUGUAGCGGUGAAAUGCUUAGAUAUUACACAGAACACCGAUUGCGAAGGCAGCUUACUAAGCUGGUACUGACGCUGAGGCACGAAAGCGUGGGGAGCAAACAGG
This 253-nucleotide ribosomal RNA is filed under the name uncultured prokaryote. Its description in RNAcentral is "partial 16S ribosomal RNA". It matches the Rfam family "Bacterial small subunit ribosomal RNA", at positions 524 to 776 of the family's 1533-position model. The record is from RNAcentral.